AUGGAUGGGCGAAGAUUGGUACUCCACAAACAUCAGCAAAUUUCUGGUAUACACCAACUUCGUACAGUCAUUACACUGGGCAAUAGUGAUAGUAUGCCAUCAACCACUAUACCUUGGCUAUGUAAGGAGUCAAGAUAUUUGACAGUGCUAGAAUUAAGUGGUCUACCUGUUGAGAAGAUUCCAGAUGCUAUUGGAGAUCUUUUUAAUCUCCGCCAUUUGGGUUUGCGUGAUACAAAAGUGAAGAUGCUCCCAAAGUCUUUAGAGAAGCUUUCUAAUUUGUUGACACUUGACCUUUGUAGAUCUGAAAUACAUGAGCUGCCUAGUGGGAUUGUGAAACUGAAGAAGCUCAGGCACUUAUUUGCUGAGAGAGUAAUUGAUCCAAAUGGGAUAGAGUUGACAUGGGGAAGUGGUAUAUGUAUCCCCAAUGGUCUGGGAAAUCUAACAAAUCUGCAGACGCUACAAGCAUUGGAAGCACAAGAUGAGUCUCUUAGGCAUUUAGGGGAGCUGAGGCAAAUGAGAAGCUUGAGGUUAUGGAAUGUGAAGGGUAUGUACUGUGGACUCAUCAGUGAGUCUCUAGUUCAGAUGCCAUAUUUGUCCAACCUAGAUGUGAAUGCAAGUGAUGAGAAAGAGGUUCUCUUGCUGAAUGCCUGCCUGCCAAACCUGCAAAAGCUGAGUUUGACAGGACGACUAGCAGAAAGGGCGUUGGACGAGUCUCCUCUGUUCCAAGAUGUUGGGGGGAAGAACUUGUAUGAAUUGUUACUACGCUGGUCACAGCUGAAAGAAGACCCGCUGCCAUCCCUUUCUCGGUUGUCAAACUUGACGCGUCUACAACUCACCAGAGCAUACAAUGGAGAGCAGCUGACAUUUCUCACGGGGUGGUUUCCCAAGCUAAAGGUUCUCUCUCUAAAAGCCCUGUCUAAUCUGAAUCAACUGGAGAUAGCGGAAGGCGCCAUGGCUAGCCUGGAGGAAUUAUUCUUGGUCAACCUCAGCAGCAUGACGGAGGUCCCAGCUGGCAUUGAGUUCCUCCUGCCCCUCCAGCGUCUAGGCUUCCACGAAAUCACCAGUGACUUCUUGACGGUGCUGUACCAAUGUUCUGUACUUGAAGUGCAGAUGUGGCAUUAUUCUCUUCGAGACUGA
RNAcentral lists this ribosomal RNA (1137 nucleotides) under Triticum aestivum (bread wheat). RNAcentral's name for it is "partial small subunit ribosomal RNA". Lineage: Eukaryota; Viridiplantae; Streptophyta; Magnoliopsida; Poales; Poaceae. The record is from RNAcentral.